Molecule: long non-coding RNA, 339 nt
Organism: Hemibagrus wyckioides
Lineage: Eukaryota; Metazoa; Chordata; Actinopteri; Siluriformes; Bagridae
Exons: 3
Source: RefSeq, a predicted model, not a curated record
CACACACACACACACACAUACACACACAUACACCAAGCACAAUGUUACACACUGCAGGAACAAUACAAUAAACUCAGGUUGCCUACACUACACUACACUGGCUCUCAGGUACACACACACAGACACACACACACAGGCUAUCAGGUACACACACACACACACACACACAGGCUAUCAGGUACACACACACAGGCUAUCAGGUACACACACACACACACACACACAGGCUAUCAGGUACACACACACAGGCUAUCAGGUACACACACACGGAGGCUCUCAGGCGCACACACACACACACACACUGGCUCUCAGGUACACACAGACACACACACACACUGG